This 71-nucleotide transfer RNA is filed under the name Tricholoma saponaceum. RNAcentral describes it as "tRNA-Gly". It matches the Rfam family "tRNA". From Rfam's summary of the family: Transfer RNA (tRNA) molecules are approximately 80 nucleotides in length. Their secondary structure includes four short double-helical elements and three loops (D, anti-codon, and T loops). Further hydrogen bonds mediate the characteristic L-shaped molecular structure. tRNAs have two regions of fundamental functional importance: the anti-codon, which is responsible for specific mRNA codon recognition, and the 3' end, to which the tRNAs corresponding amino acid is attached (by aminoacyl-tRNA synthetases). tRNAs cope with the degeneracy of the genetic code in two manners: having more than one tRNA (with a specific anti-codon) for a particular amino acid; and 'wobble' base-pairing, i.e. permitting non-standard base-pairing at the 3rd anti-codon position. Lineage: Eukaryota; Fungi; Basidiomycota; Agaricomycetes; Agaricales; Tricholomataceae. The record is from RNAcentral.
ACGAGUAUAGUUAAGUGGUAUAACAUCUACCUUCCAAGUAGAUAUCAUCAGUUCAAUACUGAUUACUCGUA